Astyanax mexicanus (Mexican tetra) is the source of this 1018-nucleotide long non-coding RNA. RefSeq lists it as uncharacterized. The record is from RefSeq and is a predicted model, not a curated record. Lineage: Eukaryota; Metazoa; Chordata; Actinopteri; Characiformes; Acestrorhamphidae. The transcript is spliced from 5 exons.
CUGAACUUGCCUGAGGCAAAGGAUGCUUUACCUCUUAAUUCUAGAUUAGUUUUAUGCUUUAUAAUGUUACAAUAUUCUGUAGCAUUGUGCUUUAUAAUAGCAUAUUUGAAAUCAAGGUGAUGCUCGGGAUGCAAGACACUGCACUAUGUAACUCUAAUCCUGGUUCUGUAUCUUCCAACUUGUUCAGAAAAGCAUGCACUGGGUUUAUUGGUCUUGCACUUUAUUUAUUUCCCAGAGUCUGUGAUGCCCGAGGCUCUAGUAGAUGGGAGAUCUCAAUUCAUCUGUGCAGUGGUGAGACUUGGCUGCGAGGAGAGAUGCCAACACUUUUUCAAAUUGCUCUAAGAAGAUUUUGAAGAGGCAUGCAAUCCACAGUAUCCUGUUCAGUCCCAUUGAAACAAUCAAGACCCUGGCCAUGCAGUUUGCCUUAACAGACAUUAGUGAAAGAAGGCUGUAUCAACAACAUCAAAUAUUAUCAGGCACCUGAAAAAUCUCCCAGAGAGGUCUGUCACAUUAGCACAUGUCAACAGUUAGCAAACAUGCUUACAUCAUUAUCAACCAUGUGAAGAUAACUUAGUGUGCAACUAGCUUUGUAACUGAAUAUUUGAAAAGUUGAGUGAAAUGUUAGUUUGCUUGUCUCACUUGUUUGCAUUGAGUGGCAUUGACAUGACGUUAAAAAGUGUUGGACUUGGUGAGCAAAGACUUGAGACUUGACUUGGACUUAUGACAAAACACUUAAGACUUGACCUGGAUUCAUGAGCAAAGACUUAAAACUUGGCCUUAAAUUCAUGACCAAAAACUUGACUUGGAUGCAUGAGCAAAGACUUGAAACUUGACUUGGACUCAUUACAAAACACCUAAGACUUAACAUGGAAUCAUGACCAAAGAUUUGAGACUUGGCUUGGACUCGUGACCAAAGAUUUGAAACUUGACAUUGGACUUGCAAUAAAAGACUUGUGAAUAUCUCUGAUGAAAACUAGAAAACUCUAGAGUGGAAAGAGAAUAAAUAAACUGAAAAUGG